GGAUUGCAGAUGCUGAACCAGUUAGGAGUGGAUUGCAGAUGCUGAACCAGGUAGGAUACUGGAUUGCAGAUGCUGAACCAGUUAGGAUACUGGAUUGCAGAUCCUGGACUGGAUUGGACUGGUCCUGCCUUCAAUAAACUUCCAUUUGGUUUAGAUUGUUUUGCAUGUUUAGUAACUCAGAGUAAUGUGGUUUGGUUAUUCACUCAAAUAUUGUGCUCCAUGUAAUUCCUUUUACCAAGUUUUCAGUUACUUGCUUGCAGGCAAUAAACAGUCAUUGAAUGAUGCAAGGUUGGGUAUGGGUGCAUCGUACCCAUCGAUUGAACACAGCCUCAAUAUCUCUCACUUGGAUAUAAUUUUAAAUUAAAGUCUGAGAACAGUUGAGAAGAGUCGUUUUCAUGCCCUUUGUUGGUCCAUGCGAUCCUGGGUCAAUGUUAGCUGUUAUUUCAGUAUAUUUCAGUAAUCCUAAUUCCUUGGUAGGCGUCGACAUACAUGAAAUUUAUAUUUUUUUAUAACCACAGUCUGAGCAAUUACUGAGACUCCGACCCCCAAGAAAAGUUCUUUAUUGCUGUAUAUUCUAACAAUACAAAAUUAUGCACUUUUGCAUGAGAACAACAAUUUUGGCCCAUAUUUGGUUAUGUAAUAUACUUAGAUUGUCAUUAUAUGUAGCCCUAGAAUAUGUCAGUUCUUGUAGGGAAAACUGGUUCCCGAUAUCCCUGUCAGAAAUGAUAAUGUAGGCAAACAGUCUCGUGUACUCAGUAGGGAAGGGGACCUGUUUGCAUGGAAAAGCUACCAAAUUAAAUGCUACUUGUUCUGAGGGUUGUAAAUGUCCCAAAACAGAACAAAAGAGUUGUUUUCUUCUGUUAAAAUAAGAAAUAGAUAGAAAAUUGGUAAUUGGAAAACAAUAUAAUUUGUUGAUUUUGGACAAUUAGUCAUCUUAAAUGCCAAAACCCAGUUACUAGUCCUUAUCAUUGUUUUUUUUUAACUGUACGCAUGCAGUACUGACAUGCGUGAAAUAUUUUGGUUAAAUGGAAUGUACAACAUUUGCCUUUGCUGCAAUUUUCAAAAAUAAAUGGAUUUGGAGGA
Molecule: long non-coding RNA, 1083 nt
Organism: Patiria miniata (bat star)
Lineage: Eukaryota; Metazoa; Echinodermata; Asteroidea; Valvatida; Asterinidae
Exons: 2
Source: RefSeq, a predicted model, not a curated record